RNAcentral lists this ribosomal RNA (2900 nucleotides) under Klebsiella pneumoniae. Its description in RNAcentral is "bacterial LSU rRNA". It matches the Rfam family "Bacterial large subunit ribosomal RNA". Lineage: Bacteria; Pseudomonadati; Pseudomonadota; Gammaproteobacteria; Enterobacterales; Enterobacteriaceae. The record is from RNAcentral.
UUAAGCGACUAAGCGUACACGGUGGAUGCCCUGGCAGUCAGAGGCGAUGAAGGACGUGCUAAUCUGCGAAAAGCGUCGGUAAGGUGAUAUGAACCGUUAUAACCGGCGAUGUCCGAAUGGGGAAACCCAGUGCAAUUCGUUGCACUAUCGUUAACUGAAUACAUAGGUUAACGAGGCGAACCGGGGGAACUGAAACAUCUAAGUACCCCGAGGAAAAGAAAUCAACCGAGAUUCCCCCAGUAGCGGCGAGCGAACGGGGAGCAGCCCAGAGUCUGAAUCAGCUUGUGUGUUAGUGGAACGGUCUGGAAAGUCCGACGGUACAGGGUGAUAGUCCCGUACACCAAAAUGCACAGGUUGUGAACUCGAAGAGUAGGGCGGGACACGUGGUAUCCUGUCUGAAUAUGGGGGGACCAUCCUCCAAGGCUAAAUACUCCUGACUGACCGAUAGUGAACCAGUACCGUGAGGGAAAGGCGAAAAGAACCCCGGCGAGGGGAGUGAAAAAGAACCUGAAACCGUGUACGUACAAGCAGUGGGAGCACCUUCGGGUGUGACUGCGUACCUUUUGUAUAAUGGGUCAGCGACUUAUAUUCUGUAGCAAGGUUAACCGUAUAGGGGAGCCGCAGGGAAACCGAGUCUUAACUGGGCGUUAAGUUGCAGGGUAUAGACCCGAAACCCGGUGAUCUAGCCAUGGGCAGGUUGAAGGUUGGGUAACACUAACUGGAGGACCGAACCGACUAAUGUUGAAAAAUUAGCGGAUGACUUGUGGCUGGGGGUGAAAGGCCAAUCAAACCGGGAGAUAGCUGGUUCUCCCCGAAAGCUAUUUAGGUAGCGCCUCGUGAACUCAUCUUCGGGGGUAGAGCACUGUUUCGGCUAGGGGGUCAUCCCGACUUACCAACCCGAUGCAAACUACGAAUACCGAAGAAUGUUAUCACGGGAGACACACGGCGGGUGCUAACGUCCGUCGUGAAGAGGGAAACAACCCAGACCGCCAGCUAAGGUCCCAAAGUCAUGGUUAAGUGGGAAACGAUGUGGGAAGGCACAGACAGCCAGGAUGUUGGCUUAGAAGCAGCCAUCAUUUAAAGAAAGCGUAAUAGCUCACUGGUCGAGUCGGCCUGCGCGGAAGAUGUAACGGGGCUAAACCAUGCACCGAAGCUGCGGCAGCGACACUAUGUGUUGUUGGGUAGGGGAGCGUUCUGUAAGCCUGCGAAGGUGUGCUGUGAGGCAUGCUGGAGGUAUCAGAAGUGCGAAUGCUGACAUAAGUAACGAUAAAGCGGGUGAAAAGCCCGCUCGCCGGAAGACCAAGGGUUCCUGUCCAACGUUAAUCGGGGCAGGGUGAGUCGACCCCUAAGGCGAGGCCGAAAGGCGUAGUCGAUGGGAAACAGGUUAAUAUUCCUGUACUUGGUGUUACUGCGAAGGGGGGACGGAGAAGGCUAUGUUAGCCGGGCGACGGUUGUCCCGGUUUAAGCAUGUAGGCUGGUUGUCCAGGCAAAUCCGGAUAAUCAAGGCUGAGGUGUGAUGACGAGGCACUACGGUGCUGAAGUAACAAAUGCCCUGCUUCCAGGAAAAGCCUCUAAGCAUCAGGUAACAUCAAAUCGUACCCCAAACCGACACAGGUGGUCAGGUAGAGAAUACCAAGGCGCUUGAGAGAACUCGGGUGAAGGAACUAGGCAAAAUGGUGCCGUAACUUCGGGAGAAGGCACGCUGGUGUGUAGGUGAAGCCCCUGCGGGUGGAGCUGAGACCAGUCGAAGAUACCAGCUGGCUGCAACUGUUUAUUAAAAACACAGCACUGUGCAAACACGAAAGUGGACGUAUACGGUGUGACGCCUGCCCGGUGCCGGAAGGUUAAUUGAUGGGGUUAUCCGUAAGGAGAAGCUCUUGAUCGAAGCCCCGGUAAACGGCGGCCGUAACUAUAACGGUCCUAAGGUAGCGAAAUUCCUUGUCGGGUAAGUUCCGACCUGCACGAAUGGCGUAAUGAUGGCCAGGCUGUCUCCACCCGAGACUCAGUGAAAUUGAACUCGCUGUGAAGAUGCAGUGUACCCGCGGCAAGACGGAAAGACCCCGUGAACCUUUACUAUAGCUUGACACUGAACAUUGAGCCUUGAUGUGUAGGAUAGGUGGGAGGCUUUGAAGCGUGGACGCCAGUCUGCGUGGAGCCAACCUUGAAAUACCACCCUUUAAUGUUUGAUGUUCUAACGUUGGCCCCUUACCGGGGUUGCGGACAGUGUCUGGUGGGUAGUUUGACUGGGGCGGUCUCCUCCCAAAGCGUAACGGAGGAGCACGAAGGUUAGCUAAUCCUGGUCGGACAUCAGGAGGUUAGUGCAAUGGCAUAAGCUAGCUUGACUGCGAGCGUGACGGCGCGAGCAGGUGCGAAAGCAGGUCAUAGUGAUCCGGUGGUUCUGAAUGGAAGGGCCAUCGCUCAACGGAUAAAAGGUACUCCGGGGAUAACAGGCUGAUACCGCCCAAGAGUUCAUAUCGACGGCGGUGUUUGGCACCUCGAUGUCGGCUCAUCACAUCCUGGGGCUGAAGUAGGUCCCAAGGGUAUGGCUGUUCGCCAUUUAAAGUGGUACGCGAGCUGGGUUUAGAACGUCGUGAGACAGUUCGGUCCCUAUCUGCCGUGGGCGCUGGAGAAUUGAGGGGGGCUGCUCCUAGUACGAGAGGACCGGAGUGGACGCAUCACUGGUGUUCGGGUUGUCAUGCCAAUGGCACUGCCCGGUAGCUAAAUGCGGAAGAGAUAAGUGCUGAAAGCAUCUAAGCACGAAACUUGCCCCGAGAUGAGUUCUCCCUGAGACUUUAAGUCUCCUGAAGGAACGUUAAAGACGAUGACGUUGAUAGGCCGGGUGUGUAAGCGCAGCGAUGCGUUGAGCUAACCGGUACUAAUGAACCGUGAGGCUUAACCUU